ACCUCAUAAAAUGAGGAUGGGAUGUUACAGUGGGAAUGGUCGGGAUAGCUCAGCUGGUAGAGCAGAGGACUGAA
This 74-nucleotide transfer RNA is filed under the name Chrysothemis pulchella. RNAcentral's name for it is "partial transfer RNA-Phe". Lineage: Eukaryota; Viridiplantae; Streptophyta; Magnoliopsida; Lamiales; Gesneriaceae. The record is from RNAcentral.